RNAcentral lists this ribosomal RNA (468 nucleotides) under uncultured bacterium. RNAcentral describes it as "partial 16S ribosomal RNA". It matches the Rfam family "Bacterial small subunit ribosomal RNA", at positions 28 to 507 of the family's 1533-position model. The record is from RNAcentral.
GACGAACGCUGGCGGCGUGCUUAACACAUGCAAGUCGAACGGUGAAGCUCCAGCUUGCUGGAGUGGAUCAGUGGCGAACGGGUGAGUAACACGUGAGCAACCUGCCCCAGACUCUGGAAUAAGCGCUGGAAACGGCGUCUAAUACUGGAUACGAGAUCAAGCCGCAUGGUUAUGGUCUGGAAAGUGUUUCGGUUUGGGAUGGGCUCGCGGCCUAUCAGCUUGUUGGUGAGGUAAUGGCUCACCAAGGCGACGACGGGUAGCCGGCCUGAGAGGGCGACCGGCCACACUGGGACUGAGACACGGCCCAGACUCCUACGGGAGGCAGCAGUGGGGAAUAUUGCACAAUGGGCGAAAGCCUGAUGCAGCGACGCCGCGUGAGGGAUGACGGCCUUCGGGUUGUAAACCUCUUUCAGCAGGGAAGAAGCGAAAGUGACGGUACCUGCAGAAGAAGCACCGGCUAACUACGUG